This 618-nucleotide long non-coding RNA is filed under the name Equus caballus (horse). RNAcentral's name for it is "lncRNA (ENSECAG00000046701.1)". Lineage: Eukaryota; Metazoa; Chordata; Mammalia; Perissodactyla; Equidae. The record is from RNAcentral.
GAGAGAUUAGGCACUAACUCGGUGCUCAUGUUGUGGUUUGGCCCACUGGUGUUGGUGGGAAUGUCUUCCUGAUGGUGCCCUGUGUGCUGGAUCAUUUUGCCUGCAAGGCAAACUGCGUUUAUUAUGUAACGAUGAGUGUGUCUAACCACUGUCAACAAUGUGAACAUUUAUAACGGCCAACAGAGCUUCUGGCCAGGAUGAGAAGCUGUGGACUGCCUCACUGAAGUGUGAGAAUUCAGCCCAAAGUAAAGACACUUGACAUUCUGUUUUGCCUGAGCAGCCUUGUUAGAAGAAAAGUCCACAGGAUCAAGAACAAACUCCUGAGCCUGCACUCAAGAGUCUCAAUUUCCCAGCUUUGUCUCACCCCUCAGCUCAAACCAGGCCUCAGGUUCAGCCAAAUCAGGAAACUGAGGCCAGAGACUGUGCAGCAAUGUGACCCAAACCUUGAUGUCUGGGGUCCCACAGGCCUGGGCUGGACUCCCAACUCAGCUCCUUCCUGGCUCUGUGAUUUUGGAAGGCUGCCUCAUCCACAGAAGUUUUCAUUUAAUCACCAGGAAAACGGAAAUAAUAAAAAUGCCUCCUUCAUGGAGUUGCUAAGGAUAAAAUGAGAGACUGGGA